CAACUUUCAACAACGGAUCUCUUGGUUCUCCCAUCGAUGAAGAACGCAGCGAAAUGCGAUAAGUAAUGUGAAUUGCAGAAUCCAGUGAAUCAUCGAAUCUUUGAACGCACCUUGCGCCCUUUGGCAUUCCAAAGGGCAUGCCUGUUUGAGUGUCAUUU
This 158-nucleotide ribosomal RNA is filed under the name Lichenomphalia grisella. RNAcentral describes it as "5.8S ribosomal RNA". It matches the Rfam family "5.8S ribosomal RNA". From Rfam's summary of the family: 5.8S ribosomal RNA (5.8S rRNA) is a component of the large subunit of the eukaryotic ribosome. It is transcribed by RNA polymerase I as part of the 45S precursor that also contains 18S and 28S rRNA. Functionally, it is thought that 5.8S rRNA may be involved in ribosome translocation. The record is from RNAcentral. Lineage: Eukaryota; Fungi; Basidiomycota; Agaricomycetes; Agaricales; Hygrophoraceae.